This 439-nucleotide ribosomal RNA is filed under the name uncultured bacterium. Its description in RNAcentral is "partial 16S ribosomal RNA". It matches the Rfam family "Bacterial small subunit ribosomal RNA", at positions 339 to 795 of the family's 1533-position model. The record is from RNAcentral.
CUACGGGACGCUGCAGUGGGGAAUAUUGCACAAUGGACGAAAGUCUGAUGCAGCAACGCCGCGUGGAGGAUGACACAUUUCGGUGCGUAAACUCCUUUUAUAUGGGAAGAUAAUGACGGUAUCAUAUGAAUAAGCACCGGCUAACUCCGUGCCAGCAGCCGCGGUAAUACGGGGGGUGCAAGCGUUACUCGGAAUCACUGGGCGUAAAGCGCAUGUAGGCGGACUUGUAAGUUGGAAGUGAAAUCCUAUGGCUCAACCAUAGAACUGCUUCCAAAACUGCUUGUCUAGAAUAUGGGAGAAGUAGAUGGAAUUUCUGGUGUAGGGGUAAAAUCCGUAGAGAUCAGAAGGAAUACCGAUUGAGAAGGCGAUCUACUGGAACAUUAUUGACGCUCAGAUGCGAAAGCGUGGGGAGCAAACAGGAUUAGAUACCCGUGUAGUC